Mus musculus (house mouse) is the source of this 1498-nucleotide long non-coding RNA. RefSeq annotates it as expressed sequence AW046200. The transcript is spliced from 4 exons. The record is from RefSeq and is marked validated. NCBI's taxonomy places the organism in Eukaryota, Metazoa, Chordata, Mammalia, Rodentia, Muridae.
UCGCGCCGCCAACUGCCGGGGCGAGCGUAGCGCAGUGGCCGGAUCCCGGUAACUAAAGUUCCGAGAAGCCUGACUAAACCCUCAAAGCCGGGACUGUCAAGACUAACGCCGGCGCCGAGGGCGGCAGACGGAUGCGUCCCAGCGGAGCGCGCCUCUCGGCGUCAGGCUGAUGGAACAGGCAGCGAGGGGCGGCCAGGAGCCGGCACAAGUUAGGUCCUCGGCCGGAGCAGCCCAGGUUCACAGAAGACUCGGGCCUCAGCAGAAUGAUUAAAUGAUUCCAAAGUCUUCACCACUGAGCUUUGUCAAUGCUGACACCGGAAUGGAAAGCCCAAUUGUUCUGUGAAAGGCUGUGGAGACCCCCAAGGUGUAUGUCUGUGCGCCAAUGACAUGUUUGGGACCCACAGAAGCUGGAAAAGGGUGCUGGAUCUCCUGGAGCCUGAGUUACACAUGGCUUGUGAGCCACCAUGUGGGUGAUGGGAAUUGAACCCAGGUCCUCUAGAAAAGCAGCCAAUACACUUAAUUAACCACGGAGUCAUCUCUCCAGCAUCUGCUAACCCAAGUAAUUUCUUUUAAAGAAAGACAAUGGAGUAGUUCAAAAGAGCUCUUUAUAUUGCUCAAAAUUACCCGCGAAAGAGCACUGUGCACAGUAAAUACCGAAUGCAUAUGCACUGCUUUAAUCAAUGUGCUGUAGACUAGAGCAAUCAAGUCGAAAAACAAAAGCAUUAUGGAACCGUGCUUUCCCUAGUGACGCUGUCUAAAAGGCCGUAACUGGCAAACGAAAGGACCACACUUCAGUCCUAACUCUCAAAGCACACAGUAAAUGUGGCAGAGAUGCUGGUGAAGUCGUUGAGGCAGUACUUCCUGAGCAUUUCCCAUUUGGAACUGUUCAUAGUAUUUUCAGUCAUGUUUGAGGUUGUGAUAGAGUAUUGUUUUAAUAUUUUUACCUCAAUAGCCCAACUUUGUACUAACUUAGAUUUAGCUCUGUGCUAAACGGAAAUACUAUCAUUACUUUCUACAUAUAUUAAAAUUAAUGUAUAUAGUUGUAAUUAAAGAUAUUUAUGUCUGAGGGUUCUUAAGAAUUAUGUAUUACCCCCAACUUCACCAUGGCUUGGGAGUAACUAAUAUAUAACAUUGUAUUUUUUUUGUUUAAUGUCAACUUCAGUUAAAGCCUGCAUGGUUUAGGGAUUACAAAUGAUAUCUGGUUUGGCAUCUAGGUUUUUGUUUGUUCUCUGUUUCUUUAUUUGGAGAUGUUUGGGGUUAAAUGCAAAUCUUUGUGGAUGCAAGUCUUCUAUCUUUGAGCUAUGCCUCCUGCCCACUGUCAUCUGGUUUUAUGACUUAUGGUCUAAUUUUGUAUAUUUGUCUCUUUAUGGAAAUUCCAAGCAUGAAUAUUUUCAUAGAUCUCAUACAAGUGGCCUGCCUUUUUCUUAAACAACACUCUCCCCCAACCACCCACAUACAGUAGAAGUCCACUAAUAAAAUAUAGGAUAUUUCUAAUUUU